CAAUCUGACCAUAAAUCGCCUUGACACCAUGCCAGGGGACAGAGUGACAGAGUAUCGUGCAUCAAGCCCAACUGGUGACUGCCAGUCGAGGAGGUGCCGCCUUUCCAGCCUUUCCAGGCUAUCCAAAUACCUCAGAUGACGCAUAUGAAGGGGCGCCCCUGGAAGCAGCAGCCAUAGCCACAGAAACAACAGUCCACGCAGGACAUCAGCUAUCUGAUCCGUCUACCGCCAGACGAAUGUCGGCGAAUCUGCACCCAAGUCUGAGUGGCCGUCCUCAACUCUUUCGCCAUGUAUCUGGACCUGUCCGGCCGCCAGUUGGAUGUGCCGCAGCGCAAAUUCAAGGACUACUUCCGUAUGCCCGGGGAAGAGGAGGCACAAAAGGUGGACCGGGUGAUGGAGAUCUUCUCUAAGCGCUACUGCGUCUGCAAUACACGGUAUUCGAUCUGAAACCCAGUUUGAAGCCGGAGAGGCGUAUGCGCGUCGAGGACUUCAUCAAUAAUCUGCGGGGCAUCGACGAUUGCCACGACAGUGACAAGGACAUCUCAGCAGGGGUAUCUUCGAGCUCGUCAAGUCGGGCGAAUUCAAGAAGGGCAGCGACCACGUCACUCUUGUGUAUCGUGCAACUAAAAACAAUGGUCGGACAUGACGCACGUCUACCCAAAGUAUUAAUUAAAAACAUUUUUGUAGAGCCAAAACUACCAAAAACCUAAAAUAGUAAUAACGAUAAUAAUAAUAAUGCAAUAA
This is a long non-coding RNA of Drosophila pseudoobscura, 744 nucleotides long. RefSeq lists it as uncharacterized. NCBI's taxonomy places the organism in Eukaryota, Metazoa, Arthropoda, Insecta, Diptera, Drosophilidae. The transcript has 4 exons. The record is from RefSeq and is a predicted model, not a curated record.